GACGAACGCUGGCGGCGUGCCUAAUACAUGCAAGUAGAACGCUGAAGGAGGAGCUUGCUCUUCUGGAUGAGUUGCAAACGGGUGAGUAACGCGUAGGUAACCUGCCUGGUAGCGGGGGAUAACUAUUGGAAACGAUAGCUAAUACCGCAUAACAGUAGAUGUUGCAUGACAUUUGCUUAAAAGGUGCAAUUGCACCACUACCAGAUGGACCUGCGUUGUAUUAGCUAGUUGGUGGGGUAACGGCUCACCAAGGCGACGAUACAUAGCCGACCUGAGAGGGUGAUCGGCCACACUGGGACUGAGACACGGCCCAGACUCCUACGGGAGGCAGCAGUAGGGAAUCUUCGGCAAUGGACGGAAGUCUGACCGAGCAACGCCGCGUGAGUGAAGAAGGUUUUCGGAUCGUAAAGCUCUGUUGUAAGAGAAGAACGAGUGUGAGAGUGGAAAGUUCACACUGUGACGGUAUCUUACCAGAAAGAGACGGCUAACUACGUG
Molecule: ribosomal RNA, 495 nt
Filed under: uncultured bacterium
Lineage: Bacteria
Description: partial 16S ribosomal RNA
Rfam family: Bacterial small subunit ribosomal RNA
Source: RNAcentral